RNAcentral lists this ribosomal RNA (254 nucleotides) under uncultured bacterium. RNAcentral's name for it is "partial 16S ribosomal RNA". It matches the Rfam family "Bacterial small subunit ribosomal RNA", at positions 524 to 776 of the family's 1533-position model. The record is from RNAcentral.
CACGUAGGGUGCGAGCGUUGUCCGGAAUUAUUGGGCGUAAAGAGCUCGUAGGCGGUGUGUCGCGUCGGCCGUGAAAACCUGCAGCUUAACUGUGGGCUUGCGGUCGAUACGGGCAUCACUGGAGUUCGGCAGGGGAGACUGGAAUUCCUGGUGUAGCGGUGAAAUGCGCAGAUAUCAGGAGGAACACCGAUGGCGAAGGCAGAUCUCUGGGCCGUAACUGACGCUGAGGAGCGAAAGCGUGGGGAGCGAACAGG